This 439-nucleotide ribosomal RNA is filed under the name uncultured bacterium. RNAcentral's name for it is "partial 16S ribosomal RNA". It matches the Rfam family "Bacterial small subunit ribosomal RNA", at positions 338 to 795 of the family's 1533-position model. The record is from RNAcentral.
CCUACGGGUGGCUGCAGUAGGGAAUAUUGCUCAAUGGGGGAAACCCUGAAGCAGCAACGCCGCGUGGAGGAUGAAGUUUCUCGGUUUGUAAACUCCUUUUGUUAGAGAAGAUAAUGACGGUAUCUAACGAAUAAGCACCGGCUAACUCCGUGCCAGCAGCCGCGGUAAUACGUAGGGUGCAAGCGUUACCCGGAAUCACUGGGCGUAAGGGCGCGUAGGCGGGAUAGCAAGUCAGAUGUGAAAUCCCAUGGCUUAACCAUAGAACUGCAUUUGAAACUGUUAUUCUAGAGUAUGGGAGAGGUAGGUGGAAUUCUUGGUGUAGGGGUAAAAUGCGUAGAGAUCAAGAGGAAUACUGAUUGCGAAGGCGGCCUACUGGAACAUAACUGACGCUGAUGCGCGAAAGCGUGGGGAGCAAACAGGAUUAGAUACCCCAGUAGUC